AACGAACGCUGGCGGCAGGCUUAACACAUGCAAGUCGAGCGCACUCUUCGGAGUGAGCGGCGGACGGGUUAGUAACGCGUGGGAACGUGCCCUUCUCUAAGGAAUAGCCUCUGGAAACGGAGAGUAAUACCUUAUACGCCCUUUGGGGGAAAGAUUUAUCGGAGAAGGAUCGGCCCGCGUUAGAUUAGAUAGUUGGUGGGGUAAUGGCCUACCAAGUCUACGAUCUAUAGCUGGUUUGAGAGGAUGAUCAGCAACACUGGGACUGAGACACGGCCCAGACUUCUACGGAAGGCAGCAGUGGGGAAUCUUGGACAAUGGGCGCAAGCCUGAUCCAGCCAUGCCGCGUGAGUGAUGAAGGCCUUAGGGUCGUAAAGCUCUUUCACCAGGGAUGAUAAUGACAGUACCUGGAAAAGAAACCCCGGCUAACUCCGUGCCAGCAGCCGCGGUAAUACGGAGGGGGUUAGCGUUGUUCGGAAUUACUGGGCGUAAAGCGCACGUAGGCGGACUAAUCAGUCAGAGGUGAAAUCCCAGGGCUCAACCCUGGAACUGCCUUUGAUACUGUUAGUCUAGAGUUCGAGAGAGGUGAGUGGAAUUCCGAGUGUAGAGGUGAAAUUCGUAGAUAUUCGGAGGAACACCAGUGGCGAAGGCGGCUCACUGGCUCGAUACUGACGCUGAGGUGCGAAAGUGUGGGGAGCAAACAGGAUUAGAUACCCUGGUAGUCCACACCGUAAACGAUGAAUGCCAGUCGUCGGGUAGUAUACUAUUCGGUGACACACCUAACGGAUUAAGCAUUCCGCCUGGGGAGUACGGUCGCAAGAUUAAAACUCAAAGGAAUUGACGGGGGCCCGCACAAGCGGUGGAGCAUGUGGUUUAACUCGAAGCAACGCGCAGAACCUUACCAACCCUUGACAUCCUGUGCUAACCCGAGAGAUCG
RNAcentral lists this ribosomal RNA (934 nucleotides) under uncultured bacterium. RNAcentral describes it as "bacterial SSU rRNA". It matches the Rfam family "Bacterial small subunit ribosomal RNA", at positions 28 to 1009 of the family's 1533-position model. The record is from RNAcentral.